GUAGGUGGCAAGCGUUGUCCGGAAUUAUUGGGCGUAAAGCGCGCGCAGGUGGUUCUUUAAGUCUGAUGUGAAAGCCCCCGGCUCAACCGGGGAGGGUCAUUGGAAACUGGGGAACCUGAGUGCAGGAGAGGAAAGUGGAAUUCCACGUGUAGCGGUGAAAUGCGUAGAUAUGUGGAGGAACACCAGUGGCGAAGGCGACUUUCUGGCCUGUAACUGACACUGAGGCGCGAAAGCGUGGGGAGCAAACAGGGAUUAGAUACCCUGGUAGUCCACGCCGUAAACGAUGAGUGCUAAGUGUUGGGGGGGUUUCCGCCCCCUCAGUGCUGCAGCUAACGCAUUAAGCACUCCGCCUGGGAGUACGGUCGCAAGACUG
RNAcentral lists this ribosomal RNA (373 nucleotides) under uncultured organism. RNAcentral describes it as "partial 16S ribosomal RNA". It matches the Rfam family "Bacterial small subunit ribosomal RNA", at positions 527 to 896 of the family's 1533-position model. The record is from RNAcentral.